UAACUCGAUAAUCCACGUAUACCCAACCUUCUAUAGAUACUCAGCAUGUGUACUGCCGUUGUAAGCAUACCUUUAAAAGAAUAAGUAUGCCACUAUGAUUAAGAACAGUUAGCUCAUAUACAUCAGGUCAAAGUGCAGCUAAUAAGAAGGUGAUGAUGGGUUACAACCCCAAAAUAGACAAUCAACUAAGAAAUAAAAAAAUCUUAUAAAAGUGGACUUGGCCGUAAUUGAUUUAUAAAAUAAAAAAAUGAAUUAAAUCUAAGACAUGUACACAUCGCCCGUCACUCUACCCUAAAGGCUAGAUAAGUCGUAACAAAGUAGGUGUAAUGGAAAUUGCACCUGUCGAAGUAUAGCAUAUAGAAUGCUUUUUACCUACACUAAAAAUAAAGUUAAAUAACUUGCUUCGCCCACGCACCUAAAUCUUAUAAAUUAUAAAUAAUAAGAAUAAUUAAAUAAAUAUUAAUAAAAAUAAAGUACAGAAAUGGAAAAAAUAAUUAAUAAAAGUAAAUUUUAAGAAUUGUACCUCGUGCAUUAUGGUUUUACAAGAAAACAAUUAAAUAUAUAAAUCCCGAAUUCUUUAUGAGAUGUUAAAAUACUGCUAAGAGCUCAUUAAUAACUGUAGAAUAAGUUUUAAAAGAUAUGCUUACAGAGGCUACACACCACCCGCAUAAGAAUAUAGCUGGUUUUCGACAAAUAUUAUACAUUAAAACAUAUAAUUAUAUUAUAGUGUAAUAUUAUUGAGGAUAAGCCCAAUAAUAAGAGCAAUAAUAAAUAAAUUCUCACAUAUAUAAUAGGCCUAAAAUCAGCCAAUUUGAAUACUUUAUCGUAACAUAUAGUGAAAAGAUUUAUAAAAAUAAAUGCUAAGAGAAGUUGAAAUAAGCGGCACAUUAAAUAACCCAACUUUAUUAUGUAAAAAUAAGUAUUAUUAAAAUAAAAUCAACAAAGACCUAGAACCAACAAUAAAUAUAAAUAGUAAUAAUUAAUUAAGGAACUCGGCAAAAUAUUAUUUCGACUGUUUAACAAAAACAUUGUCUCAUGAACAUAAUAUGAGAUAAUACUGCC
RNAcentral lists this ribosomal RNA (1062 nucleotides) under Amynthas sp. GD201108-18. RNAcentral describes it as "partial 12S ribosomal RNA". The record is from RNAcentral. Lineage: Eukaryota; Metazoa; Annelida; Clitellata; Crassiclitellata; Megascolecidae.